This 506-nucleotide ribosomal RNA is filed under the name uncultured bacterium. RNAcentral's name for it is "partial 16S ribosomal RNA". It matches the Rfam family "Bacterial small subunit ribosomal RNA", at positions 28 to 523 of the family's 1533-position model. The record is from RNAcentral.
GAUGAACGCUAGCUACAGGCUUAACACAUGCAAGUCGAGGGGUAACGAGAGGGAAGCUUGCUUUCCUUGUCGACGACCGGCGCACGGGUGAGUAACGCGUAUCCAACCUGCCCCCAACUAGGGAAUAACCUUGCGAAAGUAAGACUAAUACCCUAUAAUUUCCUCAGAUGUCAUCUGACGAGGAAUAAAGAUUUAUCGGUUGUGGAUGGGGAUGCGUCUGAUUAGCUUGUUGGCGGGGUAACGGCCCACCAAGGCAACGAUCAGUAGGGGUUCGUAGAGGAAGGUCCCCCACAUUGGAACUGAGACACGGUCCAAACUCCUACGGGAGGCAGCAGUGAGGAAUAUUGGUCAAUGGGCGGAAGCCUGAACCAGCCAAGUAGCGUGCAGGAUGACGGCCCUAUGGGUUGUAAACUGCUUUUAUACAGGAAUAAAGUUAGCCACGUGUGGUUAUUUGUAGGUACUGUAUGAAUAAGGACCGGCUAAUUCCGUGCCAGCCGCCGCAGUAA